Molecule: long non-coding RNA, 1316 nt
Filed under: Cricetulus griseus (Chinese hamster)
Lineage: Eukaryota; Metazoa; Chordata; Mammalia; Rodentia; Cricetidae
Description: lncRNA (ENSCGRG00015041900.1)
Source: RNAcentral
CUUUGGGUCCGCUGGAGGACUUCCUGCAUGUGGGACCGCUGGAUCUGCUUGGGUGCUGUCGGGAGUGACUUGGGCACAAGGGCGAGGUCUCAGUCCCUCCUCCAGCCCCUCCCUCCCACUGCCAGGUCCCGGGAAGGAGGCGGUGCUGCGGAUCAGUGGGUUUCGCAGCUCCCAGCCCUGCUCCUGAGGUCAGGAACUCAACUCGACUUCCUGAAUCUGACUGGCUGACUCCCGCCACUCCCCAGCCCAGCCCACGCCUUAAACUAGGGCGCACACACCACAGUCACAGCCCAGUCCCCUUCCUCCGGGGCUCCCCGCCAGAACCCCCACUCCGCCCCGCGGUGACGUACUUUUGCUCCCAGCACUCCUCCUUCAGGACGCCUGCCGAGCUCUCCUAGAGCUGAGAGUCAGCUCUGCUCACAGAUACACCAGUGUUCUCAGGGACUCCAACAGCCCGGUGCUGCCAAAAGGGGCCACCAUCCAGGAAAGGGGAUGGAACAUCUUAAGGGAUAAGCAGGCUAUGAUGCCUCAUCCCGACUAGGUAUCCUGGAAAUCACAGAAACUUCUGAGACAGAACGGAAAGGGUCCCCUACUCCACCACCAAAGCUUGCUUCUUGGACAUAAGCCAUUUUUACAGGACCUGUCUGCAGAAAACCAGGUCCAGGAAGUUUGAGAUUCCCACAAAGAAGCCAAAGAGACUUUCCUGCAACCAUCAUAUGUGCAAAGCCUGGCUUACUCUGACCAUUACAUGUCCUUCCUAGGGUGCUGUAAAUGAGACCUUUGUCACCUCUCUGCAAGCCAAGUGCAAACAGACUCAAUGUGCAUGAUGAGCCAAUCAUUGCACCAAGUACAGGCCUCUCUGCAGAGAGUAAGGAUCUGAUGAGAGGUUUUCAAAAAUCCUGAACUGUGUGUAUCACAUAUAUAUCUGGAUAAGAGAACUCGUAUCCAUGUCUUCCGGUGCUCAAAUUUAAGUGCACCAAACCCUGCUUUGAUUGGUAUUGCUUGGCUCUUCGUGAAUUCUGUCUGAGAUUAAGCAAAAAUUAAUCCUGGGAUGAUUGACAACAUUAUUGGUGAUACAGAUGAGAUCCUUUGUUUAGAAGGUCUCAAAGGGCUGACAGCAGGGAUGAUUGGCACAGACUUGCCUUGUUAUCACAAAGUGCCUAGUUAAACCUCUGCUUUAGUGUCACCACAACUGUUAGGUUCAGCUCUGGCCAUUUCCUGCUGUGCAGUUCUUCCCACAGUGCUCUCUUCUGUUUCCCCUACCUUUGAUUCUGUAGCCAUUUUUUUAAUCCCCUUCAUUUUAUUUAAUAUUGCUC